CUAAAGGCUGUUUUGUGCCCCCUAAAUCUGUCUCUUCCCUACGUAGAAUAGUCCCCACAUAGAAAAGUCCACAAGGACAGGACAUUAAAUGUGACCUGAUCAGAUUGGCAUGUAAUAUAAUGAGAGAGAUUGUAUUGCUUGCCUGUAAGUUUUUAUUUUUUUUAUUCACGUGGUAUAUUGUUCUUCAUGAGUAGAUACUUCAAAAUCUUAUUUAGUUUAUAUGCUAG
Non-coding RNA from Pelobates cultripes (western spadefoot toad), 227 nucleotides. The record is from the annotation of a GenBank genome assembly. Lineage: Eukaryota; Metazoa; Chordata; Amphibia; Anura; Pelobatidae.